UACGUAGGGUGCAAGCGUUAAUCGGAAUUACUGGGCGUAAAGCGUGCGCAGGCGGCUUUGCAAGACAGAUGUGAAAUCCCCGGGCUCAACCCUGGGAACUGCAUUUGUGACUGCAUGGCUAGAGUACGGUAGAGGGGGAUGGAAUUCCGCGUGUAGCAGUGAAAUGCGUAGAUAUGCGGAGGAACACCGAUGGCGAAGGCAAUCCCCUCGGACCUGUACUGACGCUCAUGCACGAAAGCGU
RNAcentral lists this ribosomal RNA (241 nucleotides) under uncultured bacterium. RNAcentral's name for it is "partial 16S ribosomal RNA". It matches the Rfam family "Bacterial small subunit ribosomal RNA", at positions 524 to 762 of the family's 1533-position model. The record is from RNAcentral.